This 576-nucleotide ribosomal RNA is filed under the name uncultured Stenotrophomonas sp. RNAcentral's name for it is "bacterial SSU rRNA". It matches the Rfam family "Bacterial small subunit ribosomal RNA", at positions 1 to 572 of the family's 1533-position model. Lineage: Bacteria; Pseudomonadati; Pseudomonadota; Gammaproteobacteria; Lysobacterales; Lysobacteraceae. The record is from RNAcentral.
UAGAGUUUGAUCCUGGCUCAGAGUGAACGCUGGCGGUAGGCCUAACACAUGCAAGUCGAACGGCAGCACAGGAGAGCCUGCUCUCUGGGUGGCGAGUGGCGGACGGGUGAGGAAUACAUCGGAAUCUACUUUUUCGUGGGGGAUAACGUAGGGAAACUUACGCUAAUACCGCAUACGACCUACGGGUGAAAGCAGGGGAUCUUCGGACCUUGCGCGAUUGAAUGAGCCGAUGUCGGAUUAGCUAGUUGGCGGGGUAAAGGCCCACCAAGGCGACGAUCCGUAGCUGGUCUGAGAGGAUGAUCAGCCACACUGGAACUGAGACACGGUCCAGACUCCUACGGGAGGCAGCAGUGGGGAAUAUUGGACAAUGGGCGCAAGCCUGAUCCAGCCAUACCGCGUGGGUGAAGAAGGCCUUCGGGUUGUAAAGCCCUUUUGUUGGGAAAGAAAUCCAGCUGGCUAAUACCCGGUUGGGAUGACGGUACCCAAAGAAUAAGCACCGGCUAACUUCGUGCCAGCAGCCGCGGUAAUACGAAGGGUGCAAGCGUUACUCGGAAUUACUGGGCGUAAAGCGUGCGU